Long non-coding RNA from Panicum hallii, 1202 nucleotides. RefSeq lists it as uncharacterized. The record is from RefSeq and is a predicted model, not a curated record. Lineage: Eukaryota; Viridiplantae; Streptophyta; Magnoliopsida; Poales; Poaceae. The transcript has 4 exons.
UUCGUAUCAAGGCAUCCUCCCUCCCGUCCGGCCCCGUCGCGCCGCCCGCAGCUGCCGCGCCAACACAGAGCACGGACGGAGCAGCGGCGGCAAAUGGCGGGAGCUAGAAGCUCAUGCCCUGCCGAUACGUCCGGUGCCCAGGCCCGGCCCCAUUUCUUAAGCCGGCUGUGUCGUCCUCCGCGCCGCUCGCCGGUCGCCACACUCCCGUCACCGCUCGCCGGCGCCGCCCAAGACCCCGGUUCGUCUGUAACGUUUCAAUCCCUUUCCGGCUCUUCUACCAGUGUCUUCAAUCUACUCUAGUCAGCUUGUGGAUCUAUCGUUUCUUCAUCGAGGCGAUCAACUCCAGUUGGCGGCUGCCCACAUCCUGUUCGACGGAAUGCCUCCAGGCGAGAGCAAGGGAGGGGCGCCACUGGCGGCGAAGGCAUCGUCGACGCCCGCAUCCUAUUCGACGGAAUUCGUGCAGACGAGAGCAUGGGAGGGGUCACUCAGGCGGCUGGCAGCGGCGGCGUUGAUGUCCUCCCGGACAAAGUUCUGCAGCACAUCCUCUGCUUCCUGGAGGCGCAGGAUUUGAGAUGAUGCCCGAUGUUUAGUAAGUUAAAGGCCUUGUUGCUUGAUGACUACUGGUGCGUGCCUGAUGACUUCCGUGCACUGGUUUGUAUCCUUGAACGCUCACCAGUUUAGAGAAGCUCGCUCUUAAACUUUCUUCUAAGAAACAUAGACGACAAAGGGAAAAGGAAAGGAAGUCUCGGACCGAUGGAGGAAUCAGCUGCAAUUUUGGAACACCUGAAGAUAAUCGAAGUGAGAUGUGAUGCUGUUGAUGAGAGGAUUUUUAAACUUGCCUUAUUCCAGUGCGCAUUUCACAUACGUUUGAGCUUUUACUUGCUGUCACUUAUGGAUCAUGCGCAUUUUCCUGGUGACCUGGAUCAAAUAAUUGUCCUAAUCAUACUUUGAUUCAGCAUUUGAGCUGAUGGACACCAGCAGAGCGCUGCUGGAUCCGCUGCACGCGGGCUUAUUGGAUUUGGGCUGCUUGGGGAGCGUAUGGGCUGGAGAGUUACUGGGCUGCUAGUUUCCCAUCAUGUGUGUCAGUGUGUGUACUUGGAAUGAGCCGCAUACAUUUCCGGUGCUGACUGAAGAAGUACAGUGAAAAACACCGGUUCAUAUGCUUGAUGCUUCCUCACAAAUCAAAAUAAAGAAAAAGAUGC